Molecule: ribosomal RNA, 482 nt
Filed under: uncultured bacterium
Lineage: Bacteria
Description: bacterial SSU rRNA
Rfam family: Bacterial small subunit ribosomal RNA
Source: RNAcentral
GAUCAUGGCUCAGGACGAACGCUGGCGGCGUGCCUAACACAUGCAAGUCGAGCGAUGAACCCUCGGGUGGAUUAGCGGCGGACGGGUGAGUAACACGUGGGUAACCUGCCUCAAAGAGGGGGAUAGCCUCCCGAAAGGGAGAUUAAUACCGCAUAACAUUAUUUUUUCGCAUGAAGAGAUAAUCAAAGGAGUAAUCCGCUUUGAGAUGGACCCGCGGCGCAUUAGCUAGUUGGUGAGGUAAUGGCUCACCAAGGCAACGAUGCGUAGCCGACCUGAGAGGGUGAUCGGCCACAUUGGAACUGAGAUACGGUCCAGACUCCUACGGGAGGCAGCAGUGGGGAAUAUUGCGCAAUGGGGGAAACCCUGACGCCAGCAACGCCGCGUGGGUGAAGAAGGCCUUCGGGUUGUAAAGCUCUGUCUUCUGGGACGAUAAUGACGGUACCAGAGGAGGAAGCCACGGCUAACUACGUGCCAGCAGCCGC